Molecule: ribosomal RNA, 508 nt
Filed under: uncultured bacterium
Lineage: Bacteria
Description: partial 16S ribosomal RNA
Rfam family: Bacterial small subunit ribosomal RNA
Source: RNAcentral
GACGAACGCUGGCGGCAUGCCUAAUACAUGCAAGUCGAACGCUUCUUUCCUCCCGAGUGCUUGCCCUCUAUUGGAAAGAGGGGUGGCGGACGGGUGAGUAACACGUGGGUAACCUACCCAUCAGAGGGGGAUAACACUUGGAAACAGGUGCUAAUACCGCAUAACAGUUUAUGCCGCAUGGCAUAAGAGUGAAAGGCGCUUUCGGGUGUCGCUGAUGGAUGGACCCGCGGUGCAUUAGCUAGUUGGUGAGGUAACGGCUCACCAAGGCCACGAUGCAUAGCCGACCUGAGAGGGUGAUCGGCCACACUGGGACUGAGACACGGCCCAGACUCCUACGGGAGGCAGCAGUAGGGAAUCUUCGGCAAUGGACGAAAGUCUGACCGAGCAACGCCGCGUGAGUGAAGAAGGUUUUCGGAUCGUAAAACUCUGUUGUUAGAGAAGAACAAGGACGUUAGUAACUGAACGUCCCCUGACGGUAUCUAACCAGAAAGCCACGGCUAACUACGUG